GCUGGAGAUUGGUGUAUAAAUAUGUAUGGGAUCAAAAAGAAGACAAAGCAAAUGAGGACAAUGAAGGAAAUUGAGCUUCCAUAGAUUUGAUUGCCAAUUCAAAUGUGAUUCAAGAAUUAAAGAUCAGGACUUGCUCAUGGUGCAAAUGGAUGGUUUGGAUUGUUGGAGCAUGGAGAACUUUGUUUCUGACUUAUUGCGUGCAUUUUCCUCUAUUUGAUUUGUAAAUUUGGAUUGUGACUACUCAUUGAACUUGUUCUAGACUGGUUGUAUUUGGUUAGUCAACUAGUAGUUGGACUAGUGAACUUUUAAUAGUGAUUUGCUCAUUGCUGU
Long non-coding RNA from Coffea eugenioides, 330 nucleotides. RefSeq lists it as uncharacterized. Lineage: Eukaryota; Viridiplantae; Streptophyta; Magnoliopsida; Gentianales; Rubiaceae. The record is from RefSeq and is a predicted model, not a curated record. The transcript is spliced from 3 exons.